RNAcentral lists this ribosomal RNA (497 nucleotides) under uncultured bacterium. Its description in RNAcentral is "partial 16S ribosomal RNA". It matches the Rfam family "Bacterial small subunit ribosomal RNA", at positions 28 to 507 of the family's 1533-position model. The record is from RNAcentral.
GAUGAACGCUGGCGGCGUGCCUAAUACAUGCAAGUCGAGCGAACAGACGAGGAGCUUGCUCCUCUGACGUUAGCGGCGGACGGGUGAGUAACACGUGGAUAACCUACCUAUAAGACUGGGAUAACUUCGGGAAACCGGAGCUAAUACCGGAUAAUAUAUUGAACCGCAUGGUUCAAUAGUGAAAGGCGGUUUUGCUGUCACUUAUAGAUGGAUCCGCGCCGCAUUAGCUAGUUGGUAAGGUAACGGCUUACCAAGGCAACGAUGCGUAGCCGACCUGAGAGGGUGAUCGGCCACACUGGAACUGAGACACGGUCCAGACUCCUACGGGAGGCAGCAGUAGGGAAUCUUCCGCAAUGGGCGAAAGCCUGACGGAGCAACGCCGCGCGAGUGAUGAAGGUCUUCGGAUCGUAAAACUCUGUUAUUAGGGAAGAACAAAUGUGUAAGUAACUAUGCACGUCUUGACGGUACCUAAUCAGAAAGCCACGGCUAACUACGUG